Molecule: ribosomal RNA, 428 nt
Filed under: Pseudomonadota bacterium
Lineage: Bacteria; Pseudomonadati; Pseudomonadota
Description: Proteobacteria bacterium partial 16S ribosomal RNA
Rfam family: Bacterial small subunit ribosomal RNA
Source: RNAcentral
UGGGGAAUAUUGGACAAUGGGGGGAACCCUGAUCCAGCCAUGCCGCGUGUGUGAAGAAGGCCUUAUGGUUGUAAAGCACUUUAAGCGAGGAGGAGGGUACUGGUAUUAAUACUACCAGGUACUGGACGUUACUCGCAGAAUAAGCACCGGCUAACUCUGUGCCAGCAGCCGCGGUAAUACAGAGGGUGCGAGCGUUAAUCGGAUUUACUGGGCGUAAAGCGUGCGUAGGCGGCUAAUUGAGUCGGAUGUGAAAUCCCCGAGCUUAACUUGGGAAUUGCAUUCGAUACUGGUUAGCUAGAGUGUGGGAGAGGAUGGUAGAAUUCCAGGUGUAGCGGUGAAAUGCGUAGAGAUCUGGAGGAAUACCGAUGGCGAAGGCAGCCAUCUGGCCUAACACUGACGCUGAGGUACGAAAGCAUGGAGCAAACAGG